Molecule: long non-coding RNA, 5506 nt
Filed under: Taeniopygia guttata (zebra finch)
Lineage: Eukaryota; Metazoa; Chordata; Aves; Passeriformes; Estrildidae
Description: lncRNA (ENSTGUG00000025817.1)
Source: RNAcentral
GCCUGUGUGCAGUACAUCCAAUUUGUUUUUCUAGCAGCCACCACUGCUGUGGGAGCUGAGCUGAGCUGAGCUGGAGGAGGCAAACCUCCCUAAACCUGCAUCCCAAAUCCAGCCCAGGCAAUAUUUAUUUAUAGCAGUUUCAGCUGGAAACACCAGUGCCAAACGCUGACUAUUCUGUUUUCAUGUUUUACCUUUCUAUUGCUCAGUCAAAACAAGUUAAUUUUAAAUGGAAUGUUUUCAUCCUAAGAGUAAAAAAAAAAAAAAAAAAAAAAAACACAACAAAAAAACCAAAACAAAAAAAAAACCCAGUAAAAAACCCCAAAAAACAAAGCAACUCUUUGUGAAGUGUUGUUUUUAGUUUUACCACUCGAAAACUGAUAGAGUUCUGAUUUCCGUUGUCUAUAAAACUUUCAGGUUUCGACCUUUCAGUCUUAUUUAUUGUUCCAUAAACUUUUGUAUUACUUUUUAAACCCCUGCAGACAAGGAUUUACUCCUGGAUGAGCACCCACAGUCACCCCAUGAUACAGCACAGCAGAAGCCAGUGCAGACAAAUCCACAUUUCUUGAAGCAUAAAAUCCCUCACAACAGCAUGGAAAAGGCUUCUGUUGGACAGAAAACCUCUUAGAUUUUGUCCCACUGGGUUUUGUCUUUUCUCACUGAUUUUUGGGUUGUUUUUUUUUUUUUUCCUCAUUAUCUUAUUGUUUUUCUUACUUUAUGUAGCAUGGAAAGAGGAUUGAGCCUUGCCUUCAAGAAUUCACCAGGCUGAACAGCACCUUGCACAGCCUGCGAAGGGAAUAACAUAAUUUUAAAUUUAUGGGUGCCAUCCAUAUUCUCUCAAGCUUAACAGCAGCUGUUUCUGCUUUUCCUGCUCCCCCCAAGAAGUGUUUGUAUGAGGGGAAGAGGAACAGAAACUGCUCCUGAAUUGCUGGCCCAAAGAAAUGCCAUUCUGCAGGAGAGAUGUGGUCCGUGUCAAAAAUGAAAUUUAUUUUAUACUCUUCAUAUUUUUUCUGUCAGGAUGUGGCUAGACUGGGUAUUUUAGUGCAGAGGUACUUGAGGGAGCUAACUUCUCACCAACCUGUACAUUAAAAAUAAUCUUAUAAAUAAUAAAUGUAUCCAUGCAGCUUUGCCUUGAGGAAUUGGUCCAGGUACACUUAUUUGUAAUGUGUAGGUAUAUACAGGUAUUUUUAUAAAUCAUAAAAAUCCCCAAGACACAGAGAGUAAUAACAGGAAAAUAAAAAGUGUAAUUCUGCUUAUGUUGUCUCUUUCCAGGUUUGCCAGCCUGAGUAUAUUCCAAGGUGAUGAAUACCAUGGGACAACGUGAAACUCACAGACUGGUUUGAUUUCACUAUGAACACGGUCCUGUUCCAUGAUGAGUUUAUUCUCAUUUUGUUCAUAUUUGGACAUUAAUCUUCUCAAUGUUUGUGAAAAUCUCUGGAGAAGAGGGAUUCACGUGAAACACAAGGAGGAGAAUGAAGGCACCUCAGUGAUCUCUGAGAGAUUUUAUGCACUCAGCCCAGGAGCACAGCAGGAUUCAUGGACAGCACCAUGGUUUGGAACCAGAGCUCUGCUAUGGGCUGGUUUUUAGACCUUUACCAUGGCUCCUGAAGGACUUCUGGCAGGAUCUCCAGGAGAUGGAUGCACGUGCUGAGGUUUGCAAAGGGGUGAAGGGACAACAGAUACCUCAUGGGCAGCUGGUGCUUGCAGCCCUGUGUUUUUUUCCUUUGGAAAUACCAGAAAAAUUGAUUUCUGCUGGCUGACAAGGAGAAGCAGGGCCUCCACAUCACUGGUGUCUUUCCAGUCAAGUACCCAACUCCUCUGGGGCUUUUUAGUGCUGUAGCCUUGGAGACAACUAGAAAGAAAUCAAUUAUUGAGUCAAUGCCAAGUGGGAAAACGAGACCAAGAGCCUUCCAAGAGCACAAAAAACUGAGAUGAGACUGAAAAAAAUAAACAAGAAGAAUGGUAGUCCUACCUCACUCUGAAGUGGAGCUCACAUAAAAUAAAUGCUGGUGGGUUUGCUUUCCAAGUGGAACAUGGGAGAGAGUGAGCGAGGGAGAUUGCGAAAGAAAAAUUAUUUGUACAUUAAAUAUCUGGAGGGAGCACUUUCAGUCAUGCUGGAGACUCCAAUUUUUUCCAAAGCAUCCUGCAGCAGACUGCACAAAUGCCUAGGAAAGAGUAAAGGUGUCUUGGAUCAGACAGCACCCAAUAUGUUUAUGCAGCCCUGAUGGGAAGAGACAUGUUUAUUCAAGCUGCUUGCCAAAAUUAUAUAUGCUGGAGGCUGCUAAGGAAGGGAAAGAACUUAAUAUUUGUAACAGUGCAAUGUUAUAUAUAUGUAUAAGAAAACCCACCUAAGCAAAAUGGAUUCUAAGUAAUUUCAAGCCAGGAUUUCACAAACUGGAAAGGAACAAGGGAGAGGAAAAACAGGGUGGCGGACAGGAAAAUGUUUUGAGUUGGAUUCUUACCUCACAGGAGCUCCACAGUGAGUCAGUGUGAGCAGGAAUUGAGUGUGUUGUCCUCCACAGAGGGGACGUCACUGUCCCACCCUCCCUCCCUUCCCAACUCCACCAGUACCUCCAUCCUUGAAUGCCUGUCGGGCAAUUGGGACCCACAAACCAGCCUAGCUGAACCCCAAGUAUUUUUUCUUGGGGUGAAUUAAUUCCCUGAAUCAACAAACCAGCAAGUUUGUAGGUAUAAUGGAAAAUAAUAUCUACAUCAUUCCAUUCCUCCAAUGGAAUAAUAUCUAUAGAAUGCCAUUACUCUGAGAUUGUGGCAUCUCGUCACUAAGUUGAAAAAAUAAAUAACCAAAAACUCCAUGACCUUGGAUGCUUGAAAAAUUGCAGAGAUCCUGAAAAGCACAUUUUCUAGCCCAAGCCUACUUGCUCUAAACUUUGGAGCUGUAUCUCUUUGCUAGAUUGAGCUGGAUCUCACUAUUGAAAUGUAACUCAUAUGCAAGAGCCUCGUAUAAUCUGCCCCAAGGAAUUAUUACUGCACUUAAACCAAAUUGUUUUGCAAGCACUGGGUUUCUGUUCUGUAAUAAAUCUAAACUUUCUUUGUCUUGCUUUAUUUUGCUUCAGUGAACAACAUCCACUCAUUGUCUUUUCUUCCCGAGACGUUUGAAUAAUUAUUGUUUUCAAAGCAAGAGGUUUUGUUUGAUUAAGUAUAAAUAGUUGUAUAAAUCUGCAUACCUCAAAACACAGAAAAAGAAAGACAGGGAGAUGAGACAGCAGAAAGAAAAUUAGGAGAGACGAUUAAAGGAGAAAAAGAGAGAAAAUAGAGUCUUUCUGUUUGAGUCACUGCAGCUCUUUGACUUGCAUUUGUGAUAUUUUCAAGGAGCUUGAGAUCUUGGUUCUCAAGAAGAACUUGGAAAGACCCAGUUAUGUAGCAGAUGAUUUUGUGGACACAUAUCCUGCAUCCCUCUGUCUCCCUCACCUGUCUAGAGCCAGAGGCAAGCACAGAAGCAGGGUCCUGCAGAAUCAGCUGAGUCUGUCUUGUUUUUUAAUUAAAUGUGAGAAAUCCCUUAGCUAUUGUUUUAACAUUUAAAAAAAAUAAAUUUUUUAACAGGAGCAUUUUUACCACUUUCUUAUCAAGCCAAACAACAAAGUGGGGAGUGGGGUGAAGAAAUUUACCUCUACCUCAGCCAACACAAGGACAGGGUUUGUCCACUUUUGCUUUGCCCCUUUCCUAGAAAUUCUCUCACAGGAUUAUCCUAAAACUCUCUGCCCGUACCCCAGGGACUGGAUCGUCACCAGCCCCAUCCACCUGCAUGGGAAAGCAGCAAGCAGGAAGGAAAAGGAGGCUGUGAGUGCCAUGGAAAUGGCCAUUCAGCAGGGAUCAGCAGGGCGAAGGAGAAAGGAUUUCGAUGCAGGCUGUGUCCAGAUGUGCAGCUGCAGUGUGGGGAAUACCUUGCCUCACACAGCACAGUUUGCACUUUUAUCGUGUGGAAGCUGAAUUCUUUGGGGUUUUUCUUAGGCAAACAAUUGCUGUGCUAUUCUUGAAGCAGCACUUCCUCCCUCUGGGAAAGCCCAGGCACCUCAGCUUCCAUUCUUGUGAUCCAAAUCUUGGCUCUCCUGCUCAAGCAAUGCAUUUUUCUGAUAUUGUAGCUCAGAAAAAAUAUAAAAUGCAAUAAAAUCUUCAAAAUACUUAAUAGAGUGGAUCUUGAAGCUUUAUAGGCAAAGAUCUUGGGUGCCCUUUACCCUGUAAUUUCACUGAAAUACUUUGUAACCGAAGAAAUUUAAAAACAAAUCUAUCAAAGGAUUUAAUUUUCCAUGAUUUAAGCAUAGUUUUAAGGAACAUUUUGCACUUACUGGCUUUGUGCUUUGUGUAAAUGUACUAGGUGUUGCCAAUAUUUUUUAAUCUGUAUCUGCAUUAACUUGUAUUUACCAUCUGUUCCUUAAAUGGAACCCCUGUAAUAGGUUAUGUUUAACUUUAGAUUAAUGAAGAAAAAUGGGCCUGCAAUCACAUUUUGUUGUAAACUGUUGUCUCAGCUCUACCUUUAGUGUCAUUUACAGCAGGUGGGCAAUGACAAGGGAUUUUGUGGUGGUGCCUCAGCAAAGUGGGCCAUGGCCAGGCCCUGUGGAAGGUCACCCUCUGAGCCUCUCAGGAAUUUCUGAUGGGAAAAAUUGGUGCUAUUUCCAAUAGGAAACUUCAGUAGAAUUGGAUGUAUUGGAAUAAGGAAUAUUUGUCCUGCAAGGGACAAUUCUAUUGGUAAGUCAGUAUUUUCAGGGGAGGUGUUUAUUAAAAUUUCUCAGUUUGAAAUAGCUGUCUUGGGGAGGUUUUAGCAAAGUCAGUGUGUCAUCUGGCAACCCAAGACAUUUGUAUCAAACAGGACACCCCAAACUCACUACCUCUGAAUCUGUAGCUCCAAGUGCAGAGAUUAGAGUCCUUUGAGGACUAAAAUGUCACGUUCAAAAGGAAUAACUUGGUUUUUACAUUGUUUGGAAAUGUCUUCCGUGCCUCCUAGAGAACAUACAAACAAAAAGAGAGCAAAAACAUACAAAAGAAUAUUCCAAGAAAAUGUUGCAACGAGAAGAUAAUGACAGAGAACUUCCUCUGUUUGGAUCAGCAAAUACAAAGAAAAUCUCUACAAACAAACUUCUUUCAGUAAGGCUACGAGUGAAGUUCACAGCACAGGUCAUGAGAUCCUGGGCUGUAACUUCCAUUUUGGGGGGGAAUUACUGGAAGAAAUUGCUGCCAGCCCUGGUGGGGGCUGUGUGUGUUGUGGGGCCAGGUCUCCAGCUGGCUGUGGGGCUGACCCACACCACCCCUGAGCCUGCUGCAGAAAACAAGCUCAGCGUCCAAACUGCAGCUCUUCAGAGAUAAAUAAGAAAUAUCUGCUGGUUUUCAGGCAGCAAGGACGCUGCCAUGUGCAGGUCACCACUCCAAGCCUGACACCAGAGCAUCAGUCAGUCCACCUGGGAGCUCUUGCUUUAUGCCCACAGUGUUUUCCCCUGUGUUUAAUAUCCUCUAGUUCACUGAUUUAAUCAUGGAGCUCUGGCCAAGAUGACAUAAU